AGGAGCAGCAGAGAAUUGUGGACUAUUCUUCUGGGCAGAUCAGCUUUAAGAGAACCAGCUCAGAUUGCGGCAGAAUUGAACAAACAUUGGCAGAGGCUCUUAGAGGGACUUUCAUACUACAAACCUCCAAGCACAACUUCAGCAGAAAAAAUAAAAGCUGAUAAAGAUGUAGCUGCUCCACUAAAAGAAUUGGGUCUGAGGGUCAGCAAGUUUUUGGUGA
Non-coding RNA from Tinamus guttatus (white-throated tinamou), 220 nucleotides. The record is from RefSeq and is a predicted model, not a curated record. NCBI's taxonomy places the organism in Eukaryota, Metazoa, Chordata, Aves, Tinamiformes, Tinamidae.